CAUAUUUUUUUAUAAGUUUAAAAAUAUUAAGUAUCCUUUUUAAAAUUAAAAUCGUGAAAUAAUUGACUGGUGCUGCGGUACUUUGUCCCCUGAUGUCUGAUGACGCCUCUGUCGCCGCCCGCCGAAUCGAGGACGAGGCUUUCUCCACCGCCUCUGCUUUUGCCUCUCCCGACGAUGACGGUAUCGAGAUUAUUCAGCUCUCCUCGAAGGAGAUCAGCAACCUCAUGCUCUAAACUGUCAAGGCCAGAGCUGUUCUCGAUAAUGAUGUCUCAAAGACGCCAGCCUCGGGCGUACCUGCUCCCUCUCACGGGGAGGGUGUCUCUGCUACCGAGUCUGAGUCUUAGUCUUGAUUCUUAUGACCUUUGCCAUUUCUUGUGUUUUUAGGAUGUGUUUGGUUGGAAGGUCAAGGGUGAGGACCUCUUCCCUUUCCUUUCCUCAGUUUGACUCCUCUAAAUUGAGGUAAAUUUUCUGAAUGAUUUAUUCUUCCUCAUUUUAUUAUAUUCCACAAUUGCCCAUAAGUGAAAAACACAAGAUAUGAACUCUGCAUCCAUAUUCUCCAUCGGUUUGCUUGUUGCUCUUGCCGUUUUUAAUCCCAGCACCGUCUAGCUCGUCCCCAUAUCGCCGUUGCGUUUCCAGAUCCGGCCAGAGUGAUUCACUACUAAAACUUCGACUUAGAGGAUUGUAAUUCGCAGGACAACCAGAAGCACAAGGUAAAGAAAAAGAAGAUCAUAUUCAGUCUAUAAUGGUGAACUCGUUCUCACAUAUUGAGCCUUGCACAGACGCAAUACGACAAUUUGAUCUGUUUCUGUAGCAUGGUACGUGCUCAAGGUGUAAAUUGUUUUUUUAAAAUCAAAUUGUCACUGCUUGUUUAGUUUUAUACAUUAUGCUGCUCUUGAGCUUAAGGGGAUCUUGAGUCCGGAAUAGCUGUCUAUCAAGAGUGGGGUUCUGUCACAAAUGGGCCUGAUUAUAAGGGGCCAGAUCCUGUAAAGGUCCAGAACCAGAUUACUAAUAAUGGGAUGCUAGAGAAUGUUGAGUCAGCCGAGAACGUUGAGGCUCAUGACUGUUCACGCUGAGGAGGACAUGCAAGAUCAAGUGCCUACGAUGCCAACGGUGCCCUGCAGAAGCAACCACUCAAGGAGAAUCAUGUGGAAGCUGAGAGAGGCUAGGGAGGGGCAGGGAAGUUAUGUAAAGACGUCGAGGAUCUGUUAGAGGGUGUGCUUUGAGUGUUUGAGUCUUCCCCUCCGUUAUUUUGCAAGUUUUUUCCAUUCUGUAAUUCGCUUCUGGUUCUUCUGUUUUCUCCUCUCUGUGACUGAACUUUUUGUAAAUAAUACCUUGAGCUGGUUGAUAUCC
Long non-coding RNA from Prosopis cineraria, 1350 nucleotides. RefSeq lists it as uncharacterized. The record is from RefSeq and is a predicted model, not a curated record. The transcript has 2 exons. NCBI's taxonomy places the organism in Eukaryota, Viridiplantae, Streptophyta, Magnoliopsida, Fabales, Fabaceae.